This 252-nucleotide ribosomal RNA is filed under the name uncultured bacterium. Its description in RNAcentral is "partial 16S ribosomal RNA". It matches the Rfam family "Bacterial small subunit ribosomal RNA", at positions 524 to 776 of the family's 1533-position model. The record is from RNAcentral.
UACGUAGGUCCCGAGCGUUGUCCGGAUUUAUUGGGCGUAAAGCGAGCGCAGGUGGUUUAUUAAGUCUGGUGUAAAAGGCAGUGGCUCAACCAUUGUAUGCAUUGGAAACUGGUAGACUUGAGUGCAGGAGAGGAGAGUGGAAUUCCAUGUGUAGCGGUGAAGUGCGUAGAUAUAUGGAGGAACACCGGUGGCGAAAGCGGCUCUCUGGCCUGUAACUGACACUGAGGCACGAAAGCGUGGGGAUCGAACAGG